UACGGAAGGCAGCAGUGGGGAAUAUUGGACAAUGGGCGCAAGCCUGAUCCAGCCAUACCGCGUGGGUGAAGAAGGCCUUCGGGUUGUAAAGCCCUUUUGUUGGGAAAGAAAUCCAGCCGGCUAAUACCUGGUUGGGAUGACGGUACCCAAAGAAUAAGCACCGGCUAACUUCGUGCCAGCAGCCGCGGUAAUACGAAGGGUGCAAGCGUUACUCGGAAUUACUGGGCGUAAAGCGUGCGUAGGUGGUCGUUUAAGUCUGUUGUGAAAGCCCUGGGCUCAACCUGGGAACUGCAGUGGAAACUGGACGACUAGAGUGUGGUAGAGGGUAGCGGAAUUCCUGGUGUAGCAGUGAAAUGCGUAGAGAUCAGGAGGAACAUCCAUGGCGAAGGCAGCUACCUGGGACCAACACUGACACUGAGGCACGAAGCGUGGGGAGCAAACAGGGAUUAGAUACC
RNAcentral lists this ribosomal RNA (455 nucleotides) under uncultured bacterium. RNAcentral's name for it is "bacterial SSU rRNA". It matches the Rfam family "Bacterial small subunit ribosomal RNA", at positions 340 to 786 of the family's 1533-position model. The record is from RNAcentral.